Molecule: long non-coding RNA, 1384 nt
Filed under: Marmota monax (woodchuck)
Lineage: Eukaryota; Metazoa; Chordata; Mammalia; Rodentia; Sciuridae
Source: RNAcentral
CUGCUUGCUAGGCUUCUGCAGGGAAGUGAGUGCGGCGAACAUGGCUGAAGACUGUUCGGGCGUCCCAACGUGCAGUGGGAUGGGUGGCCGGCAGGACCCGGUCCCCAGCCCUGGAGGCUGCAAUUUCCCAGAGUACGAGCUUCCCGAGCUAAACACGCGCGCUUUCCACGUGGGCGCCUUUGGGGAGCUAUGGCGGGGCCGUCUGCGCGGGGCCGGAGACUUGUCGCUAAGGGAGCCUCCGGCAUCCUCGCUGCCCGGGAGCAGAGGGUCCGCUGAUUCUGACCUGGAGGAUUCCGCAGUGGCCCGGGAUCUGGGCUGCAGUCUGGAGGCAGCGGCCGAGCUAAGGAUGGUUUGCGGGUGAGUGUGGGUCGGGGACUUGGCAUCUUGGCCAGGAGGGGUGCAGCUUUGCCCUCACGGUCCCCUGGGACUCGGGCCUGCUGAGGGCCUGUCAUUUAGACCCGCGAUUAAAGGACCUCCUUGCAAAAGCUUUCAACCCCAGAACCUUCCUGGAACCCUGGGAGAAGUCCCAGGAUCCAAAUGCAUACAGUUUCUGCGAGUUAAGAGUAGAGGAACAACAAGAUAGCAACAUAAACGACUAAUUUUUCUAUUCGCCAAUUUUAAAGGUCUCAUUAAUAAAGAAAAGCAGCCCGGGUAACAGCGACCGGUGUCUGCCAGACACUUUGACAGUGGAAGAAUCUGAAGUAGUGGUGAGCCUGGAGGGGACUUAAUCAGAGGAGUAUUAAAACCCUUACUGUGGACUGUUGGGGAACCUCCUUAUGCUAUUAGUGAAAAAUUAUCAAAAAGUUCCUUAUGUGAGGUGAAAAUAUAAAAAUAACUUGUAAUGAGCUCUUUCUUCACAGUACUGAUUUCCUUCAAUUGGUCUAUGUCCUUUUCCUUAUAAAAUAUCUGCAUAGAAAUUAUUACCUUGAUUUCCAGCUUCCUUUUAGCUGCCUGCUGGAUUUUUCCUGACUUCUUAAUUAUUCAGUGAUGUAUUUAGGGGUGUGCUCUUUCUUUCUUUCUUUCUUUCUUUCUUUCUUUCUUUCUUUCUUUCUUUUUUUGAUACUGGGGAUUGAACCUAGGGCCUUGUGCAUUCAAGGCAAGCAUUCUAUCAACUGAGCUAUAUCCCUAGCCCCCAUGCUAUUACUAUUGACAAGAUUUUUUGGUGACUUUUUAAAGUUUUCAUUUCCUUCUUUUUGUUUUAGCCUUGAUAAACUGAAAUGCCUUGAAGAAGGUGAGGAUCCAGAAGUUAUUCCAGAGAAUACUGACCUGGUGACUUUGGGGUAUGGGUGACUUUGUUCUUGUCAUAUAUUGUUUAUUGUUAAUUGUCAAGAAUUGAACCCUGGGGCCUGCUAGGCACACAAACUAUCACAAAGUUACACCACCA